This 467-nucleotide ribosomal RNA is filed under the name uncultured bacterium. Its description in RNAcentral is "partial 16S ribosomal RNA". It matches the Rfam family "Bacterial small subunit ribosomal RNA", at positions 29 to 507 of the family's 1533-position model. The record is from RNAcentral.
ACGAACGCUGGCGGCGUGCUUAACCCAUGCAAGUCGCACGGAAAGGCCCUGCUUUUGUGGGGUGCUCGAGUGGCGAACGGGUGAGUAACACGUGAGUAACCUGCCCUUGACUUUGGGAUAACUUCAGGAAACUGGGGCUAAUACCGGAUAGGAGCUCCUGCUGCAUGGUGGGGGUUGGAAAGUUUCGGCGGUUGGGGAUGGACUCGCGGCUUAUCAGCUUGUUGGUGGGGUAGUGGCUUACCAAGGCUUUGACGGGUAGCCGGCCUGAGAGGGUGACCGGCCACAUUGGGACUGAGAUACGGCCCAGACUCCUACGGGAGGCAGCAGUGGGGAAUAUUGCACAAUGGGCGGAAGCCUGAUGCAGCAACGCCGCGUGCGGGAUGACGGCCUUCGGGUUGUAAGCCGCUUUCGCCUGUGACGAAGCGUGAGUGACGGUAAUGGGUAAAGAAGCACCGGCUAACUACGUG